Terrapene triunguis (Three-toed box turtle) is the source of this 215-nucleotide long non-coding RNA. RefSeq lists it as uncharacterized. The transcript has 3 exons. The record is from RefSeq and is a predicted model, not a curated record. Lineage: Eukaryota; Metazoa; Chordata; Testudines; Emydidae.
AGCAAGCGCAACAAGGACGUGGCCUAUUCUGUCUGCAUCUGGAGGCAGCCGGGCUCCAGUCUCUCCGGCAUGGCCAUCGCCGACAUCACCCUGCUGAGCGGCUUCCAGCCCCACAUAGACGAUCUCGACAAGCUGAAGGACCUGUCCGAUCGCUACAUCAGCCACUACGAAGUCCAGGGCCAGAGACUCCUGCUCUACUUCGAGACGGUGAGGGG